UUCUGCUGACAGCUGCAGAGAUGACAGGACAACCUGCCUGCAGAGAGGAGCUUCCCACUCCAGGGUUUCCUCUCUGCUAGGAGCUGAACACUCAUCAGGACACCCUGGCUGCAGAAGGGAACGGAGCUUCCCAAAGCAGAUCUCUGAGCUUCCCACUGCGGGUCUCCUCUGAGCUGCUCUAUCGCCGAUAAAGCUCUUCUUCAUCUUGCAUAACCUCCACUUGUCUACAUACCUCAUUCUUCCUGGUUGCAGGACAAUAAUUCAGGACCCCUCAAAUGGCAGGGUUAAAAAAGCUGUGAAACCAACAUGCCUGAAACAUGUUCCUUUCUUGCCAUUUUGUGGGUGAAGAGAAGGAGAGAAGAGUUGCUGCCUUUUGGAAAGCCCAGACUGGGGAGCUCCCAGAGCCAGGGCUGUGGCUUCCUCUUUGGGGUCUUUGGUUCUUGGUGUCUCCAAGCUUCCAGGCACCACCACAUUCCCCAGUGCCAGCCAGGGAAGCUGCUUACACUGAGCCUGAUCCAGCUGCAGUCUCGUAGAAAGCUGGCACCCACGCCAGCACCUGGAUCUGCCUGCUCCAUGGCAGCAGCCAGCAUGUCUAACUGCACAGUGGCCGGACCCCAUGCUCGCUCACACACCCCUUGCCACUCCACACCUGACUCACAGUCUCCCUUGGAGGCUUGGGAUCCAGGCCGGUAGUGUGAUCCAGGCACAGCCUGCCAGACCAAGUGGGUGGAACAAGCCCAGGACUCCCAAGCAAAACUCAGGCAAAGCUGCCACCAGCUACAGGUUUCCAGCCAGAAAAUGACACCCCAAAGAUUCCAUAACAAUAACAAUUUCAAAUGCCCUGUGAACACCAAGCUGGUUCACAGUUCCUUGUCUCUGGAACACUUUAACCUCUUAUUUGGCUAGCUAAUGUGCACUCAUCCUUCAAGACUUAGUUCAUGCGCCAUCUUCUCCAGGAAGCCAUGCUUGUCAUCUCCUCUAGGUCUCCAUCCCACCUCUGCCUGCUGGAAGUUGAGAUCAGGAGUCUGCCUUUCCUAGUUCCCUGAACCUACCACGUUACACCAAACCAGCAUGAUUUAUUGACUAGCCCUUCCUUUCCCCACUCAUCUGUCAUGUCAUUUCUGUAAUAUAUUAAAGUUCUGUAUGCAGGUGAGGGCAUCUGUUACAAAUACUACUGCUGAUUUGUGAGUCUCUUCAAAACCACAAACUGAAACAAAAAGAGAAGCAAAGAAACAAAACAAAACACAUGAUACUGAGCAAUAUUUUAUUGUGUGAGAAUCUAUGGCAUUCAGUCUGAAAAAAAGGAUUUAACAAGGUGAUUCAUUUUUUUUUUUUAUUCUAAAAGUUUCCAUUCCUCAAAUCCUCUCUACCUUCCAAAGCAGUAUCUAUCUCCAGGAUCUGUGAUGUCACAAUCCACACCUCACCAUAUCUGGGCUUUAUCACCCUGUGUUUAGAUGCUGCUCAAACAAGCACAAGGGUUUGUUUCUCUGGGACCUUAAUGGAGUUAGUCACAAAGGUGGCUACACAGGACUUGGUCAUGCUAUGCUGGUGCUAAGCACGUAUCUUUAACAUAUUCAGUUCCAGUGGUCUAAGACAACUUUCCAAAUCUGACUCACUGCAACAAAACUUAUAAAAGAUUGAGUGGUGGUUGGAUCAUCAUGGCGGAUGGGAAGCAGGACUAGACUGCAGCUCCGGAGAGAGCAGCUCGCAGAAGCUCGCAUUGUGAAUUUUAGCUCGAGAUCGACUGCAAGAACAAACCAGCAAUUC
Molecule: long non-coding RNA, 1767 nt
Filed under: Homo sapiens (human)
Lineage: Eukaryota; Metazoa; Chordata; Mammalia; Primates; Hominidae
Description: HSALNT0381540
Source: RNAcentral